GACGAACGCUGGCGGCGUGCUUAACACAUGCAAGUCGAACGGAAAGGCCCUGCUUUUGUGGGGUGCUCGAGUGGCGAACGGGUGAGUAACACGUGAGUAACCUGCCCUUGACUUUGGGAUAACUUCAGGAAACUGGGGCUAAUACCGGAUAGGAGCUCCUGCUGCAUGGUGGGGGUUGGAAAGUUUCGGCGGUUGGGGAUGGACUCGCGGCUUAUCAGCUUGUUGGUGGGGUAGUGGCUUACCAAGGCUUUGACGGGUAGCCGGGCUGCGAGGGUGACCGGCCACACUAGGACGGAGAUAAGGCCCAGACUAGUACGGUAGGCAGGGGAGGAGAGGAGAGUACUAGAGGCGGGGGCAAGGUGCAGCAAAGCCGCGUGGGGGAUGACGGCAAGGGGUUAGUGAACCGCAGCCGCCUGUGACGGGACGUGAAUGACAGUAAUGGGUGAAGAAGCACCGGCUAACUACGUG
This 468-nucleotide ribosomal RNA is filed under the name uncultured bacterium. RNAcentral describes it as "partial 16S ribosomal RNA". It matches the Rfam family "Bacterial small subunit ribosomal RNA", at positions 28 to 507 of the family's 1533-position model. The record is from RNAcentral.